Molecule: ribosomal RNA, 468 nt
Filed under: uncultured bacterium
Lineage: Bacteria
Description: partial 16S ribosomal RNA
Rfam family: Bacterial small subunit ribosomal RNA
Source: RNAcentral
GACGAACGCUGGCGGCGUGCUUAACACAUGCAAGUCGAACGGAAAGGCACUGCUUUUGUGGGGUGAUCGAGUGGCGAACGGGUGCGUAACACGUGUGUAACCUGCCCUUGACUUUGGGAUAACUUCAGGAAACUGGGGCUAAUACCGGAUAGGAGAUCCUCCUGCAUGGAGGGGGUUGGAAAUUCUCGGCGGUUGGGGAUGGAUUCGCGGCUUAUCAGCUUGUUGGUGGGGUAGUGGCAUACCCAGGCAUUGACGGGUAGCCGGCCUGAGAGGGUGACCGGCCACAAUGGGACUGAGAGACGGCGCAGACGCCUACGGGGGGCAGCAGUGGGGAAUAUUGCACAGUGGGCGGAAGCCUGAUGCAGCAACGCCGGGUGCGGGAUGACGGCCUGCUGGUUAUGAACCGCUUUCGCCUGUGACGAAGCGUUAGUGACGGUAAUGAGUAAAGAAGCACCGGCUAACUACGUG